AUGUGUCUGAUUGCAGGAUUAUUCCUCUAUUUUUCUAUAGCAUUAUCAUUUCUCAUUUUAAAACAUUAUUUGCUGUUACUGACCCUUCAUUCCAGAAACACAUCGCUUUCUUCCUCUGUACUGGAGUGUAGCAACACAAAGAUACAGCCAACAAUUUCACUUGGUGGUCUGAUGAACUCUCAUAAAUGCCUUGUUUACAGCAUAAGAAUCAUUUGUCUUCCUGUAGUCUGGCUACCCCAGGCAAAGUGCAGCAGGAGGCAGAAGAAUCCCAUCAUAAGUAGGUAAGCACAAAUCUUUCACGUGUUUCUGCCCAUGCCUGCAUCUGUAGUGCCACCUAGUGUCAGAGAGGGAUAAUAACAUUUUUAGAAGUCAA
This 373-nucleotide long non-coding RNA is filed under the name Pan paniscus (pygmy chimpanzee). RNAcentral describes it as "lncRNA (ENSPPAG00000044204.1)". Lineage: Eukaryota; Metazoa; Chordata; Mammalia; Primates; Hominidae. The record is from RNAcentral.